Non-coding RNA from Ameiurus melas (black bullhead), 73 nucleotides. Lineage: Eukaryota; Metazoa; Chordata; Actinopteri; Siluriformes; Ictaluridae. The record is from the annotation of a GenBank genome assembly.
GGCAUGAUGGCCAAGUGGGACGGCGUCGGUCACGUAAACCGAAGAUCAUGGGUUCAAUCCCUGUCAAAAGCCU